GAUGAACGCUAGCGGCAGGCUUAACACAUGCAAGUCGAGGGGUAUAGUUCUUCGGAACUAGGGACCGGCGCACGGGUGCGUAACGCGUAUGCAAUCUACCUUUUACAGAGGAAUAGCCCAGAGAAAUUUGGAUUAAUACCUCAUAGUAUGUGAGAAUCGCAUGGUUUUCACAUUAAAGUUCCAACGGUAAAAGAUGAGCAUGCGUCCCAUUAGCUAGAUGGUAAGGUAACGGCUUACCAUGGCGACGAUGGGUAGGGUCCUGAGAGGGAGAUCCCCCACACUGGUACUGAGACACGGACCAGACUCCUACGGGAGGCAGCAGUGAGGAAUAUUGGUCAAUGGGCGCAAGCCUGAACCAGCCAUGCCGCGUGCAGGAAGACGGUCCUAUGGAUUGUAAACUGCUUUUAUACAGGAAGAAACAACGCUACGUGUAGCGUCUUGACGGUACUGUAGGAAUAAGGAUCGGCUAACUCCGUGCCAGCAGCCG
This 487-nucleotide ribosomal RNA is filed under the name uncultured bacterium. Its description in RNAcentral is "bacterial SSU rRNA". It matches the Rfam family "Bacterial small subunit ribosomal RNA", at positions 28 to 517 of the family's 1533-position model. The record is from RNAcentral.